Danio rerio (zebrafish) is the source of this 898-nucleotide non-coding RNA. Lineage: Eukaryota; Metazoa; Chordata; Actinopteri; Cypriniformes; Danionidae. The record is from RefSeq and is a predicted model, not a curated record.
CAUGCAUGCAUAUGACUGACUGCAUCCUCUUAACUGCUCUCAGCUAAUGUUAUUUUUCAGUCUCAGCGAGUGUGUAUGUGUGUGAGCUUCAUUGUGUGUGUGCAUCUGUCAAUUUCUCACCUAAUGAGGGCUUGUUUUUUUUCUGUCCCCAUAGUAACGUCAGGAUAAUGAUGCCUCUGUCUUGUCAAGACGUCUGACAACACUGUGGGUUUUCGGUGACAUCCCAACUUACACGCUGUUGUAGGAAAUGUCCCAUGCGAGCUUGUGAACAGCAGCACCUCGCUCUUGGAUGAGGAGACUAGAAGAGCUCUAAUGUAUCGGAGUCUAUUAAAAAGACAAAACUGGGGCAGAUUGAGAGAUGCAGCGAGGUAACGACAGAGAGAGAAAGAGAGACAGGCUGAAAAACAACCUCAUUCUGCACAACAAACAAAUGAAAGGCUCUGUGUGUGGAGAACAAGCCGAGUGGAUCCAUAAAGCCGUCCUCCCGACAGUCCAUGUCUGAUGCACGUUUGUGAGGGAAAUGCAGAUCGAUGAGGCUCACGCAGAUCAGAUCAAUUCCAAUUAGUCGUCCGCUGAUUUCUGUAUCACAAGGCCACUAAGCAGCUGUGCAUUUUAAUCACAUAUCACAGAGUGGCCGACCCAACAGUGACCCCUAAAAAGAGCGGAAAAGGGAGGAGGAGUAUGGGUGGAAACGAGGAUUCUUCAAGAUGUAGAUUACUAAGUUUUCUUUGAAGCCCCAGUGAAGCAGAAGUAAGCCUUUAGCUUCCAGUCGAGAUGCUUUUGAAGAUCUCGUUUCCACAGGAAAACUCUGACCAGUUCUGGUGCUAAAAUCCUCCAUCCGACACACAAACGAAGAUCUGAUGAUGGUAUCGAUCUGCAGUGGAUAUCAUCUCAAAAA